Molecule: long non-coding RNA, 1465 nt
Organism: Aedes albopictus (Asian tiger mosquito)
Lineage: Eukaryota; Metazoa; Arthropoda; Insecta; Diptera; Culicidae
Exons: 3
Source: RefSeq, a predicted model, not a curated record
CUUCUUUAGUGGUGUUGAGAUAAUUCCAUAUUCAGAAUCUGCAUGCAAAACUGAGCCGAAAUCCAAAUUUUCAUGAAUUUUGGUGCCCGGGAACCUAUUUAAAAAUCAGUUUGAAGUUUGUAUGGGAGCGAUUUGUCGAAUCACCCCUCGUCGCAUUUUAUACUGGAUGGAGCUGUCAAGCAGUUGGCCAGCUGUCAAAAGGUGCUUUCAAAAAAUCUAUUCGAAAUCGAUUUUAGGUACCAAAAUGAAGUUCUAAAAAUCUGAAAAAAAUCAUGGUGGUUCAGAAAAAGGUGCUCUUUCGUAUAAAAUCAUAAAAUCAAUACAUUUUUCUUAACUUAAAAACCCAAUUGUGAAAAAAAAUCCGCCGGAAAGUCCCUGUCGGAUGUAGGGCAUCGGCAGCGAAAGCAGUACGUGCGAAAAAAUUUUCUGCCUAGUUGUGAAGAAGAUCGGCGGUGCCAAGUGGAGACAAAUAACCGGUUUUAGAAGUAGGUACAUCCGUACGAGUACCGGUAUUAGAACAACUUCCGUAACCACAAGUGCAAUAUCCGCAAGACCCUAAAGAAGGGUCAAGGAAAAUAAUAAAUUUCUAAUCCGGCUGGCCGGUCGUCGUAAGGGAGCUGUAGGCCCUCAAGUCGGGACUGCAACUGGAUGGCCGAUUCGGAGGUCCACCAAUAGGUCCGAUGUCGAUGAUGCCUUGGCCAAUGCCACACAUGCGGGAAACGGUGAUGUCUCCACAUAUGCGAUUCCCUCUGAUGCGGCGCAACCCGAAUGGAAAGUUGCCUCCGGGCCGAAUGAAAAGUUCGGUCAAAUUCUUGACAUCAUCGCCUCGUCUUCAAGAAAAUCGCAAGAGCCACAAACGCAACGCGAACCAUGCAACCUUCCCGUUCUAUGAACUACGAUUGCGCAUCAACCAGCUGGACAGCGACAGACCAAGAUCGACAGUGACCAAAGUGAUUGCCAAAACAAAUGAACAGCCGAAGGGCAUCCAAGCCGGUCCACCCGUAGGACAAGAAAUCUUGAAAGAAGAAUUCCGAUGCCGAUGAAGCGGCCAGUACUAUGGUGCCCAACCGGCAUGAUAUGCAUUUGUGGAAUUUGCAACGGGGCCGCCUGCGAUGCAACAGGGCUUCACGUUUACGCUGACGCAUGCGAUGAAAAUCUCGAUCAUCGAGAAGUAGGAAGGAGGCUUUAGAAUAAGUAUUUUAAACGUACGUAUUGAAGAAAUGGUAUGCAUGGGACAGUACAUUAUGUAGGGUGACUAAGGGUAUUAUCGGCAUGUUUGUUUUCUUCAUCAAGGGGGGUUUUUGCAGGCCAAAUUUCUUGAAACUUGAUUGUACAAUUCAGCUUGGUUAGGAAGAUUUGACGCCAACUUUGAGUUUAAUCGAUAUAAAAAGAUGACGAAGAAAUCAAAUUUGCCGGGAAUACGUCACUUUCCCUAUUUGGAUUCAAAAAACCAUGAAUAAUUGCA